Molecule: unclassified non-coding RNA, 1155 nt
Filed under: Monomorium pharaonis (pharaoh ant)
Lineage: Eukaryota; Metazoa; Arthropoda; Insecta; Hymenoptera; Formicidae
Description: transport and Golgi organization protein 2 homolog, transcript variant X2
Source: RNAcentral
AAUUGCAGUUCCGUACAUUUAGCAGAUGAUUUUAAUACUUUUUAUUUUUGAUCAGUUUCCAUUUAUCAAAAACUCGGAUAAUUUUCACUUGUGACUUGUCACAUAACUCAGUUGAAUGUACGUUCCUUUUGGAUUCUCAAACAUAAUAACUUUUGAUGUAUUUGGUCUAGAAAAAAAUUUAAAUACUAUUUCCGAAAGAAAAAAAUCUGCUCUUUCGAAGGCACCAUUAGAAUUGACCUACGAUGCGAAGAUAUUAUCUAUGUGCAUCUUGUUCAUUUAUCGCAAUCCAAAUGCUGAUGCUAAAACCUAUCGAUUGAUAAUUGCAUCAAAUCGAGAUGAAACGUAUAAACGUCCUGCAUCACCAGCCAACUAUUGGGAAGAACAUCCUGAAUGUUUAGGAGGUACUGAUAUGGAGCCUGGUAAGGAAGGCGGAACUUGGUUGGCCUUAUCAAUAAAAGGAAAAGCUGCUGUUAUUUUAAAUCUAGUUAAUGGAGGAAGUUCAAUGGAUUCACCAAAAAAAGGUCGUGGUUUCUUAAUAACCAAUUUCAUCACUUCCAAUGAGUCUAUAGAAUCAUAUUUAAGUAACUUGCAUAAGGAAAAUAUUGAUCAACCAUAUAAUCCUUAUUGCUUAGUUUUAUUUAAUUUAAACAAUGCGGAUGUGCAUUAUCUGAGUAGUUGUACAAAGAAUGCCGGACAUAAAAUCUGCAACAGUGAUAUUAUAGGUAUUGGAAAUAGUGGAUUAAGUCAUCCUUAUAAAAAAGUUGAAGUAGGAAAAGAAUAUUUUAAACGUAUUGUACAAGAUGUUGAUACAUCAAAACAAGAUGAUUUAAUCGACAAGCUUAUUCAGUUCUUAAAAUCAAAGAAAAGAGGCAUACAAGAUUUCAUGGUUUUAUUCUCAAUAUCGCACUGAAAAGUAUUGGCCACGAUCCAAUCCGAAAUUUUUGCAAAGCAGCAUUCACGAUAAAACCUUGUGAAUGCGAAACACUAUUUUUGAGUAAGACAUUUUAUGCAGGAUGUCUACCAGAUGAGGAAUUACAAAAAAGAUGUCCAAUGAGAUAUGAAGACCUCAGUUCAAUCUUUGUUUCUGGAAAAGAAUAUGGUACAAGAACACAUUCCAUAUUACUAAUUGAUGGUUCGAAUCAUGUGACUUUUGUU